RNAcentral lists this long non-coding RNA (326 nucleotides) under Physcomitrium patens. RNAcentral describes it as "long non-coding RNA (PPAT_LNC001576)". Lineage: Eukaryota; Viridiplantae; Streptophyta; Bryopsida; Funariales; Funariaceae. The record is from RNAcentral.
CUUUAUUAUGCAAUCCUUUAAAAUCAAUUCUCCAACCCAUUCUCCUACUUCAACACAGACCCAGUGAUUACUAUUCAAGCAGAGUGUCAAAAACAGUUUUUUUAACCAUAAACCCCAUAACGCCAUGAAUAUCUGUGCAUCUAAAAUAAACCAGAAACCUAAAUGAGUUGGAAACACUCAUGCCUUCCCUGCCAAAGUGGGUAUCUGUGAAUCCUCGAAAUCAAUGCAUAAAGCUUUUCCUUUGGCAAUUCAGUGCUUGUGGAAGGGUGAUCUUAAGCCACAGCUGAUGCUCUUCUUUAAAAAAAUGCUGCAAUUAAGACUACGUU